AGUACGCAAGGAAUGGUCUCAGCGAUGCUCGACUAUAUCGGCCCCAUCGACGUAAUCAACUUCUGGCUGCUGCAAAGAAGGAAAACAAAAGGUUUAGGGAUUAACAAGGUGCCGCGAAAGUGGCGUGCCUUUUCAUAUUCAUGUGCCAUGUGGGUGCACAGCCCCUGGUAUAUU
RNAcentral lists this ribosomal RNA (174 nucleotides) under Heteroxenia fuscescens. Its description in RNAcentral is "partial 16S ribosomal RNA". The record is from RNAcentral. Lineage: Eukaryota; Metazoa; Cnidaria; Anthozoa; Malacalcyonacea; Xeniidae.